GGUGAUAGCUCAGUUGGUAGAGUGCUUGCUUUGCAUGCACAAGGCCUUGGGUUCAAUCCCCAGGACCA
RNAcentral lists this transfer RNA (68 nucleotides) under Marmota monax (woodchuck). It matches the Rfam family "tRNA". Rfam says of the family: Transfer RNA (tRNA) molecules are approximately 80 nucleotides in length. Their secondary structure includes four short double-helical elements and three loops (D, anti-codon, and T loops). Further hydrogen bonds mediate the characteristic L-shaped molecular structure. tRNAs have two regions of fundamental functional importance: the anti-codon, which is responsible for specific mRNA codon recognition, and the 3' end, to which the tRNAs corresponding amino acid is attached (by aminoacyl-tRNA synthetases). tRNAs cope with the degeneracy of the genetic code in two manners: having more than one tRNA (with a specific anti-codon) for a particular amino acid; and 'wobble' base-pairing, i.e. permitting non-standard base-pairing at the 3rd anti-codon position. The record is from Rfam by way of RNAcentral. Lineage: Eukaryota; Metazoa; Chordata; Mammalia; Rodentia; Sciuridae.